This 502-nucleotide ribosomal RNA is filed under the name uncultured bacterium. RNAcentral describes it as "bacterial SSU rRNA". It matches the Rfam family "Bacterial small subunit ribosomal RNA", at positions 1028 to 1529 of the family's 1533-position model. The record is from RNAcentral.
AAAGUGACAGGUGGUGCAUGGUUGUCGUCAGCUCGUGUCGUGAGAUGUUGGGUUAAGUCCCGCAACGAGCGCAACCCUUAAGCUUAGUUGCCAGCAUUAAGUUGGGCACUCUAAGUUGACUGCCGGUGACAAACCGGAGGAAGGUGGGGAUGACGUCAAAUCAUCAUGCCCCUUAUGAUUUGGGCUACACACGUGCUACAAUGGACAAUACAAAGGGCAGCUAAACCGCGAGGUCAUGCAAAUCCCAUAAAGUUGUUCUCAGUUCGGAUUGUAGUCUGCAACUCGACUACAUGAAGCUGGAAUCGCUAGUAAUCGUAGAUCAGCAUGCUACGGUGAAUACGUUCCCGGGUCUUGUACACACCGCCCGUCACACCACGAGAGUCUGUAACACCCGAAGCCGGUGGAGUAACCAUUUAUGGAGCUAGCCGUCGAAGGUGGGACAAAUGAUUGGGGUGAAGUCGUAACAAGGUAGCCGUAUCGGAAGGUGCGGUUGGAUCACCUC